Small nuclear RNA from Callithrix jacchus (white-tufted-ear marmoset), 107 nucleotides. Lineage: Eukaryota; Metazoa; Chordata; Mammalia; Primates; Cebidae. The record is from Ensembl.
GUGUUCACUUCUGUGGCAUAUAUACUAAAACAGGAACAAUACAGAGAAGAUCAGCAUGCCUCCUGCACUAGGAUGGCACUCAAAUUUGUGAAGCUUUCCAUGCUGUU